ACGCCGACUCCUUUCACUCAUUUUGCAUCUUUAAUUCACAAAUGACCCCGAUCUGCUCACCUUGUUCCCUUUCAGAGAUAUAAUUCUCACACAACUGGUCCUCUCCUCCUUAAAUCCGCAGAGCAGCAUGUCUCACCAAGCCUCCUUCUGUUUCUCUGUGCUCGUGUGUUUCUGCUCUUUUGACUUAUUUAACCUUCACUGUGUUUUGUAGAGUCCGCAAAGUAACACAACCCUUUCUGAAAAUCACACACUUCCUGUAUUUGAAAGUGUUACUCAGGAUUUUGUUUCCAAAGUGGAUGAUUUGUGGCUACUGUGUAUGAAGUUAAAGUACCAAGAUAGUGUUUGCUACUGGAUGACAGUCAGAGGUAAGACGCUUUGACAUGUUUUCAUAAGUUUAGUCAUGCUGCAGAGGCCCAUAUUUAUUUGGCUUCUACACUCUUUUUUAUUGCAGAUAGCUCAGCUGGUGUGUUUUAACUAUUACAUGACAGAGACAUGAUCAAAAGUAGUUUGUGUUUGAAAGUCUAGGAUUGCCACAGUUUGGUGAAAAACAUCUUGUACCCAGCUCAAACUCCAAGUAUAAUUGUCCUUAUCCUCCCUUCAGCUGGGAUCGCUGCUAAACUCAUGAAAACAUCACUCAUAAACAUGAGUCAGCAUUGUUUUGGGGAGAAAGUCCAAAAUAGGAAAGGCUUUACGCCGUUGUUCUUUGUUUUUGUCAUUUUGGUGUACUUGUUUUCACAUAAACAGCUGCUUGUCUGUCCUUUGAGUGACACAGGUGACCAGAAUAUCUAUAGCGUAUUCAGCGAACAUUUCACGAAUCAUAUUUUAAUUUCACUGGUUUAUCUGCUGUGUUGAUGUGAUGAAACUUUCUUUCUUUCUCCACCUAAAAAGGCUUCGGGUCUGCAGAAAAUCUCUGGCUCUGAAUUCUUGAUGCUGUUUUUGUCUCAUCAGAGGUUUUUGUCGAGUCGUGAUGUGGUAAAAUGUAAAACGUGUUGAUGCCUGAAGCUGUAAGUGGGUCAGAAACUGAAAAGUGCUGAGUCACAGCUUCACACUCAUAGCUCUGACUCUCAUUUCUAACCUCUGUGCGAAAAUCUACUGAGCUUAUGAUGUUAUUACGUGUAAAAACUUUGUAAUGCUGCAUUUCUAGAUUAUCUGCAAACCGCUUAAUAUUCAGGUAUUUCAUAUGCAGGCUGUAUAAACAGGACGACACAUAAGUCUCAGCAAAGCAAUUCAACACUAUAAUCACAUAUUGUAGACACUCUCUGUUAUGAGACAUCAGAUAAAUGUUGCGCAGUAAAAUGUGAAAUAUAUCACCCUGACAUACUGUAUGCUAAACAAGCCUCACAGCAUGGGAAUAGAGGUCAAGUGUCUUUGAAUGAUCGUAUUGAGUGUCUCUCAGAACAAGCAGGUAUUGAAAUUGGUUUUCAUCGACUGUAGCAGAAACUCAUACGAGCUAAGAUUCAUCUGUGAAUGACUUCAGUGAUAUAUGCAUGUGACCCCAUCUUCACAGGAAAUAUUAGACUUUCAGUGUUUCUGCACACACGUCACCAGGUCUUUAAAAGCCACACAUCUCUCAUUGAUGAGUCUCUCUUUUUAAAGCCAUUAUAAAUAAACUUCUUGUUUGUUCAUUCCUUCAAUUCUCCUUCGCAGCAUCAGUAGCUCACAAAGACAAAUUCUGCCAAUAUGUAAACAUUGACAACACGCCUCUAUCCCGUUACGAAAAAAAGUGAAGCCCCCAGCAAAGAGAUAAUGAUACACCAACCUUUAAGGGCAGAUUUAUGCCAUACAGUUCUAGUUACAAACAACACUUAUACACACAUGAUAAUGUAUCAGAUUUUAUAGAGCUUUUUAUCAGAGACUUUCAAAGCGUUUUACAUUGGAUACAUCAUUCGUUUGCUUACACAGUCACAGCCUGGUGCUGGUAAACUACCUUAGUAGUCACAGCUGCCCUGGGGCAGACUGACAGAAACAUGGCCGCCAGUUUGCACUUACAACCUCUCUGACCACCACCACACAACAGUCACAAUCAUACACCAGUGGAAGACACACACUGGGAGUAAGGUGGGAUAAGUGUCUUGCCCAGGGAUACAAAGGCAGACUAGAGAUAGAGGGGAAUUGAACCACCAACCUUUGAAUCAUUGGACAACCGCUCUACCUCCUGAGCUACUGCCACCGGUGUAUAAUCAACACCCAGCAACUAUAGAAUGACCACCAACCUGGAUGUAGUUAUAUUACUCUAUAUGGUGCAUUAGUUUGGUCUCAGGAGUUGUAGGCAAUGUUGCAGUCAGAUCACAAAAAACCUUGAGUUUGAGUUGAGCCUCUACCUGAGUCCACCUCCCACUCAAGCCCGGUUAUAGAUGUUAUUAAUUAUGAGUAUGGGUGUUUUUUUUUGAAUUGGCCUACUGCAUACUCCUGCCAACCUACUCAGACCUACUCGGUAUCUACUGCAUACUCAGUAUGCUGUACAUACUGCAAACUGAGUGCUGUGUUCAAUAGUAGUAUGCAGUAUGACCGCAAGUCAGCCGUUAUUAUGUAGUAUGCUUGGCCCGGUUUAGCUGGUUUCCGGUAUGGAAAAGUACAUCAUACCCUGGUAAAUUGCAACGACACUACAGUGUUGCCCAUUCAUUUAUGCACUGAAAAAAAUCUUUUAUGUUUUAAUUUGAUUGUUUUCAGGAUUUUUUUUAGCCCAAUACCAGUCAUCAAAACGUGUUCUCUCUAUGCAAUGACUCUUGAUUCUCAUCAAGGCACUGUAAAUACAGCAAAGUUAUGUCAGUUAUGUUGUCCUCGUUUUGCUUAAAUGAAAGAAGUUGCAAUCCUAGCUAAACGUGUUAACUGAUGGCGUCUGCGUGGUGUAGUGUUAUUUCCCUUGUCCUGAUAGUUUGACAACUACAAUGAAAACCCUCUCAUACAAACUCCUGUCUCCUGCCAAUUUAUUUCAAAUACCAUAUUGGCUGCUGAUUGAAUCAGACUGCUUUAACGUUUACUCACCUUUCUGCAUUAAAGCUUUAGACCCCCUCCAAUGCCAGCUGCUAGUCCAGCUGUGUGAUGUAAACAUUGGUGAUGGCACACGCUAUGUACGGUAAACAUCACAUGAACCGUACAGUAUCAAGGAUGAGGAGAAGCAGUAAAAAAGGCAGUGGAAAUAGAGGAUAAAAGCUGUACAGUAUGGUAACAAAACAUGACAUUCUUGUCAGUGGUUUGCACAAAUAAUGCUGAAUGAAGGAGGAGAAGACAGGCUGUUAGAAAGAGAAAUCUUUUGGCUGUCCUCUUAGAAAAUGAAUGCGCUGGUGAAAAGUUUUACCGCUCUCUGCUAUUCCGCCGUCUGCCCAGGUGCUUUGCAUUGUGGGUAACAUAAGGCAAAACAGACUGGUUCGAUGCAUACUGUGAAAUGAUCCCAAAUCAGUACGUCAUCCGGGUUUUUUUUUUCUUUUUUGGCAUACUGCAAAUUUUGCAUUUGUUCACCCACUGCAUACUGCAUACUAAAUUUUGGGCAAAUCAGUAUGUACUGCUAGUAUAGUAGGCAAAUUCAAAAAUGGCCUCUGUCUCAGAGUUUGAGUUUGUCUCAGGGCUUGAGUUUUUCUCUGGCCUCUUCCUGGGUUAUCUUUUACAUAUCAGACAUGUUGCUCUUCUCUUGUUUGCAUUCAUUUUAAAAUCUAUGAUGAAAAAAAAUGUGAUGCCUCUUUAGCCAUCCUGGCAGGAACUGAAGGUAAUUAUGAGGCCUGAGCUUUAACCAAAAUGACAAGAGCCUCAUACGAGAAAACCAAACCGAAACCAUAAAACAGUCUUAUCUCCAUGCAAAAAGGUCAGUUCUAAGUCUGACAGCCUAAUUUUGACUAUCUUAGACCUGAUCUCUCCUGCUUCACUCUUAAAAGACUCCUGAUUCUGGAUCUUCACUCAUGACUAAUUUGUGCUGCAGACAAUUUCCUGUAGCCUGUAGAAAUUUGUUUAUCUAGUUGGUUGAGUUUGUUUCUAUUCUGAAGGAAAUUUGUCAUGGCUAUUCAGCUUUUUUUCUAUUGUAGAAAAUAAAAAAAUUCAAUACAUAUAAAAUAAAAAAGAAGUCUUCCGAAUAAAUAAAUUCAAGUUCUUCUUUCCAUUUUUGAAGUCCAGAAGCCCUCAAUGCUUGAGUCAAAGUCCAGUCAUGAGUCAUGGAAAUCAGGGCUCGAGUACUAAAACAGUUGUGGCAAGCUUUUUUGAUUUACUUGUUUCCCCACAUUCAGCUCAAUGUUCAAAUAGUUUUACUUCAUUUUUUCAAGUCAUUUCACAAAUUACUGAAGUUCCUGGCUCAAAACUGUUUAAACUGAAAAAAACAAAAACAACAAAAUAAAAGUUAAUAUAACAGGUGUGAAACUGGCCAAACAGAAUAUUAACACUUUGAUUAUCAGCUAUUAUUCUGGACAUUAUGUUUGAAUUUGGAUUAUCAAUUUGGUUUAGGAAAUUAAAAAACCCACCUUUCCUUUGAGAUCUUGGCAGCUUAAGUUUCGUUCUCGCUUUGACUCAAUUACUAGAAAUCUUGAGUGUGUGUGUGUGUACGUGUGUGGUAUGUGUGUGCACGUGUAUCUGUGUUUAUCUCAGCUCGCAGACGUGACCACACCCUUCAUGUUACAACAACAGCUGCCAUCUUUGGCUGGUGAUGAUGACAUCGCAGCGGCUGCAAGAUGACUUGAACAAGUUUCCUCUCAGUGACCUUUAUUUCCUUAUCUCCUUGUCUCCUCGCUUUGUUCUCGCCUUCCCUACACCCUUAUUUCUUCCUCUUACUACUUUGCCUCCCUUCCACCCUUUCUGUCUUGUCUUCCUGAUUUUUCUGCUGUUUUUAAAAAAUCUGUACUCCUCUUUAAACUAACUCUUUAUUGUCUUAUCACAAAUGCUCAACAGUUUUUUCUGACGAACAAUCUCAGAGUCUCUCUAUAACCCAGAGAAGCUCCAGGUAAGACACCCUCAGGAAGCCGGUGAACCUCUACGGGUCUGACCUGAUGGAGGAGCACCCAGCUGAACAAUUACAGUGCCCACAGACAUCUCUAGAAUCUGUCUAACAAAUCUGUGUCCACUGAAUUGUUGACAAUAGGCCCUUGCUGAUGCUUUUUUAGAGCAGAAAUGCAAAAGAGCCAGUGGCAGUAGAUGCAUCUGCACUGCUGCCAU
Molecule: long non-coding RNA, 5133 nt
Filed under: Xyrichtys novacula (pearly razorfish)
Lineage: Eukaryota; Metazoa; Chordata; Actinopteri; Labriformes; Labridae
Source: RNAcentral